UCAGAGGGUCGGGCGGCCGCCGGCAUGGAAACAUGCGGGAGGAAAGUCCGGGCUCCGCAGAGCAACGGUGCCGGGUAACGCCCGGCGGGGGCGACCCCAGGGAAAGUGCCACAGAAAACAGACCGCCGUUCCUUCGGGGCGGCAAGGGCGAAACGGUGCGGCAAGAGCGCACCGCGCCCCCGGUAACGGGGGUGGCAGGGUAAACCCCACCGGGAGCAAGACCGAAUAGGGAGGGCAUAUGGGCUGGUUCGGCCCCGUCCUCCGGGUUGGUUGCUUGAGGCCGUCGGCAACGGCGGUCCUAGAGGAAUGGUCGCCCAUCCAGUUUCGGCUGGUGGACAGAACCCGGCUUACAGACCCUCUGACAUA
RNAcentral lists this RNase P RNA (366 nucleotides) under Alterirhizorhabdus solaris. RNAcentral describes it as "Sphingomonas solaris Bacterial RNase P class A". It matches the Rfam family "Bacterial RNase P class A". From Rfam's summary of the family: Ribonuclease P (RNase P) is a ubiquitous endoribonuclease, found in archaea, bacteria and eukarya as well as chloroplasts and mitochondria. Its best characterised activity is the generation of mature 5'-ends of tRNAs by cleaving the 5'-leader elements of precursor-tRNAs. Cellular RNase Ps are ribonucleoproteins. The record is from Rfam by way of RNAcentral. Lineage: Bacteria; Pseudomonadati; Pseudomonadota; Alphaproteobacteria; Sphingomonadales; Rhizorhabdaceae.